AAGGCUUUAGCUUAAUUAAAGUGUCUGUUUUGCAUAUAGUUGAUGUGAGUUAAAAGCUUGCAAGUCUUA
This 69-nucleotide transfer RNA is filed under the name Hippocampus bargibanti (pygmy seahorse). RNAcentral's name for it is "tRNA-Ala". It matches the Rfam family "tRNA". Rfam says of the family: Transfer RNA (tRNA) molecules are approximately 80 nucleotides in length. Their secondary structure includes four short double-helical elements and three loops (D, anti-codon, and T loops). Lineage: Eukaryota; Metazoa; Chordata; Actinopteri; Syngnathiformes; Syngnathidae. The record is from RNAcentral.